RNAcentral lists this ribosomal RNA (301 nucleotides) under uncultured bacterium. RNAcentral describes it as "partial 16S ribosomal RNA". It matches the Rfam family "Bacterial small subunit ribosomal RNA", at positions 509 to 807 of the family's 1533-position model. The record is from RNAcentral.
CAGUCGCCGCGGUAAAACGAAGGGUGCAAGCGUUAAUCGGAAUUACUGGGCGUAAAGCGCGCGUAGGUGGUUCAUUAAGUUGGAUGUGAAAGCCCUGGGCUCAACCUGGGAACUGCAUCCAAAACUGGUGAGCUAGAGUACGGUAGAGGGUAGUGGAAUUUCCUGUGUAGCGGUGAAAUGCGUAGAUAUAGGAAGGAACACCAGUGGCGAAGGCGACUACCUGGACUGAUACUGACACUGAGGUGCGAAAGCGUGGGGAGCAAACAGGAUUAGAUACCCCCGUAGUCCCUGUCUCUUAUAC